AAUCAUUGGUUGAAUAAUGUCUACUCAAACAAGCUCACACUGUGAAACCAGCUCAGCAAGGCCUACCUGGAGGAUGCAAAGAUGGAUUGAUGUUGAACUGGAAAGAAGAGGCACGAGAGAAAUACUGUUUCCUUGAGGAGGCGAUGGGUGGUCCAAAGCUAGAAUUAACACAGGCACUUAGACACCUGGUCCCUUUUCUACCCCACUUCAGCAACCAGACAUGAAGAUCUAAGCUGUAAAGUCCUCCUGUCACGAUGAGAAUCAGCAUGUUUACAAGAAGCUGUCCAGAAGCAAGGUGGCAUCCGUUAGCAGAGUGCCUGACACACUGGACCGAGAGCACCUGUCUCUGCCUCCUGGUUUCUCCCGACUCCCAGGGCAGGACUCCCUCAUGCUGCCGCUGUCACCAUCACACCCACAGAAAGGCCAGCCAAGGGCUGGGGGCAAUGUGAUGGCUGUUCCCUUCCCGCCUGGGGCUUUACCCUCAAGUCCUGGGGGACUGACAGGUAUUGUACUAACUGAAAUGAAAAUCAUUUUAUGUGCAGAAGCAAAUUCACCCAGAAUUCUGAAAGUGCAAAAGACUAGAUCCUUAAAGGAACAUUCUGGAUGCUGUGUUUUUCAGAAAAAAAGGCGAAUGUUGAGUAAUUAAGCUAACAUUCGCGUUCUUUCUUUUCUAUUAUUCUAUAUUUUGAGUGAGUUAUAGGAUGUGUUAGACAGUCCCAUCACGCCCAGGCUAAUUUCUUACAGUGACAUCUAAAGUUCUGUAAAAUGAUCUGCACAAUAAAAUGGUUUUAAAGGAGAAUUACUUAAAUUUCUGGAGGGCAUGAAUUAUAUUUACAUUGUAUCCCUAAUGACUAACACAGGGUUUGGCAUAUAUCAGGCACAUAAUGAUAAAUACGUUUGCAUUAAUUAGUAGAUUAUAAUCUGAUGAUUAGGCUUUAAUAAAAUAAUGGUAAUAACAUAUUUUUGUUUGUUUCAAACUAGUAUAUUUAGAGGUUCCAUUUUCACUCCUCAAUAGAUUUUAUGUAUUUCUCAUAUGCUUCUUCACUCAUUAGUUCAUCUAGUUCUGAAGGGUUACUGUGUGUCAUCUU
Molecule: long non-coding RNA, 1088 nt
Organism: Delphinapterus leucas (beluga whale)
Lineage: Eukaryota; Metazoa; Chordata; Mammalia; Artiodactyla; Monodontidae
Source: RefSeq, a predicted model, not a curated record